CUUUGUCUAUCUUUUUAGAUAGUAAAAGUCGUAACAAGGUUUCCGUAGGUGAACCUGCGGAAGGAUCAUUAUCGUACAACGUGCGUUGAGGGCGUGCGAGGGCUGUCGCUGACUUUUUGUUGACGCAAAAGUCGUGCACGCCGGAGCGCGUCCUCUCGCAUAAAAUCCAUCUCACCCUUUUGUGCACCACCGCGUGGGCACCUUUUGGGAUCGAACCGAUCCUGGAGGGGGCUUGCGUUUUCACACAAACCCCUUUUAAAAAGUGUAGAAUGACCCCAUUUUGCGAUGACACGCAAUCAAUACAACUUUCAACAACGGAUCUCUUGGCUCUCGCAUCGAUGAAGAACGCAGCGAAAUGCGAUACGUAAUGUGAAUUGCAGAAUUCAGUGAAUCAUCGAAUCUUUGAACGCACCUUGCGCCCCUUGGUAUUCCGAGGGGCACACCCGUUUGAGUGUCGUGAAAUUCUCAACCUUCUCGGUUUUCUUCUGGACACCGAAGGAGGCUUGGACAUUGGAGGCCUUUGCUGGCGUCUCUUAGACCCAGCUCCUCUUAAAUGAAUUAGCGGGGUCCUCUUUGCCGAUCCUUGACAUGUGAUAAGAUGUUUCCAUGACUUGGUUUCUGGCUCUGUUGCAUUUGGGACCCGCUUCUAACCGUCUCGACGAGACAACGUUUGGGCGUGUCUCCCUUCUCGGGAGACUCUCUCAACCCCCACGAACCCUUGACCUCAAAUCGGGUGAGACUACCCGCUGAACUUA
RNAcentral lists this ribosomal RNA (755 nucleotides) under Lactarius deliciosus. RNAcentral describes it as "eukaryotic LSU rRNA". The stretch from base 304 to 457 matches the Rfam family "5.8S ribosomal RNA". Lineage: Eukaryota; Fungi; Basidiomycota; Agaricomycetes; Russulales; Russulaceae. The record is from RNAcentral.